CCUACGGGAGGCUGCAGUGGGGAAUAUUGGACAAUGGGCGAAAGCCUGAUCCAGCCAUGCCGCGUGUGUGAAGAAGGCCUUCGGGUUGUAAAGCACUUUCAGUGGGGAAGAAAGCCUUGGGGCUAAUACCCUCGAGGAAGGACAUCACCCACAGAAGAAGCACCGGCUAACUCCGUGCCAGCAGCCGCGGUAAUACGGAGGGUGCGAGCGUUAAUCGGAAUUACUGGGCGUAAAGCGCGCGUAGGCGGUCUGAUAAGCCGGUUGUGAAAGCCCCGGGCUCAACCUGGGAACGGCAUCCGGAACUGUCAGACUAGAGUGCAGGAGAGGAAGGUAGAAUUCCCGGUGUAGCGGUGAAAUGCGUAGAGAUCGGGAGGAAUACCAGUGGCGAAGGCGGCCUUCUGGACUGACACUGACGCUGAGGUGCGAAAGCGUGGGUAGCAAACAGGAUUAGAUACCCUAGUAGUC
This 465-nucleotide ribosomal RNA is filed under the name Vreelandella stevensii. Its description in RNAcentral is "partial 16S ribosomal RNA". It matches the Rfam family "Bacterial small subunit ribosomal RNA", at positions 338 to 795 of the family's 1533-position model. Lineage: Bacteria; Pseudomonadati; Pseudomonadota; Gammaproteobacteria; Oceanospirillales; Halomonadaceae. The record is from RNAcentral.